GAUGAAGAACGUAGCGAAAUGCGAUAAGUAAUGUGAAUUGCAGAAUUCAGUGAAUCAUCGAAUCUUUGAACGCACAUAGCGCCCGCCAGUAUUCUGGCGGGCAUGCCUGUUCGAGCGUCAUUUCAACCCUCAAGCCCCCGGGCUUGGUGUUGGGGAUCGGCGUGCCCUCGCGGCGCGCCGUCCCCUAAAUCUAGUGGCGGUCUCGCUGUAGCUUCCUCUGCGUAGUAGCAACACUCGCACUGGAUCGCAGCGCGGCCACGCCGUUAAACCCCCCACUUCUGAAAGUUUGACCUCGGAUCAGGUAGGAAUACCCGCUGAACUUAAGCAUAUCAAUGAGCGGAGGA
RNAcentral lists this unclassified non-coding RNA (344 nucleotides) under soil metagenome. RNAcentral describes it as "partial contains 5.8S ribosomal RNA, internal transcribed spacer 2, and large subunit ribosomal RNA". The stretch from base 1 to 120 matches the Rfam family "5.8S ribosomal RNA", at positions 35 to 154 of the family's 154-position model. The record is from RNAcentral.